AGCAGCCGAGCUACCCGUCGAAGCCCCAGCAGCCGAGCUACCCGUCGAAGCCCCAGCAGCCGAGCUACCCGUCGGUGGGAUACUCUUCUCUUCCUCGAAAAGGUGUCGCUCCAAGAGGUUUUAGACGGAUUCCAUCUGUGUACCAGCCCACAUGGCGGCAGCAGCAACUGGUACCUGCAUACAAUGGGCUUCAACCUUAGAUUCCUGACCUGUUCCUGGAAGCAGUCUGACUUAUCAAGUUUUGUCAAUUGAAUAAAAUACUGGAAACUAUA
Long non-coding RNA from Scatophagus argus, 272 nucleotides. RefSeq lists it as uncharacterized. The record is from RefSeq and is a predicted model, not a curated record. The transcript is spliced from 2 exons. Lineage: Eukaryota; Metazoa; Chordata; Actinopteri; Scatophagidae.